AAGUCGUAACAAGGUUUCCGUAGGUGAACCUGCGGAAGGAUCAUUAACACGUAUCCAACGUUAUACCCCCUGUGAACUUUCAUACAGUCGCACCUCAGCUUCUCUUUGAGAAGGCCCUGUGGAUUUGCUGGGACAGCACGUACAGCAAACUAGGUGCUUGGGUCUUAGAACCCCCAAAAUAGGAACCCCACAGUUUCGUAGCCAGGUCGCGGUAACUCGCAGACCUUAAAAAAAAACCGAACAACUGUUAACAAUGGAUAUCUUGGUUCUC
RNAcentral lists this unclassified non-coding RNA (271 nucleotides) under fungal sp. Its description in RNAcentral is "partial internal transcribed spacer region". The stretch from base 1 to 46 matches the Rfam family "Eukaryotic small subunit ribosomal RNA", at positions 1786 to 1831 of the family's 1831-position model. Lineage: Eukaryota; Fungi. The record is from RNAcentral.